RNAcentral lists this ribosomal RNA (484 nucleotides) under uncultured bacterium. RNAcentral describes it as "partial 16S ribosomal RNA". It matches the Rfam family "Bacterial small subunit ribosomal RNA", at positions 30 to 507 of the family's 1533-position model. The record is from RNAcentral.
AUUGAACGCUGGCGGCAGGCCUAACACAUGCAAGUCGAGCGGAUGAAGGGAGCUUGCUCCUGGAUUCAGCGGCGGACGGGUGAGUAAUGCCUAGGAAUCUGCCUGGUAGUGGGGGAUAACGUCCGGAAACGGGCGCUAAUACCGCAUACGUCCUUAUGGAGAAAGUGGGGGAUCUUCGGACCUCACGCUAUCAGAUGAGCCUAGGUCGGAUUAGCUAGUUGGUGGGGUAAGGGCCUACCAAGGCGACGAUCCGUAACUGGUCUGAGAGGAUGAUCAGUCACACUGGAACUGAGACACGGUCCAGACUCCUACGGGAGGCAGCAGUGGGGAAUAUUGGACAAUGGGCGAAAGCCUGAUCCAGCAACGCCGCGUGUGUGAAGAAGGUCUUCGGAUUGUAAAGCUCUUUAAGUUGGGAGGAAGAAAAGUAAGUUAAUACCUUGCUGUUUUGACGGUACCAACAGAAUAAGCACCGGCUAACUUCGUG